Molecule: long non-coding RNA, 79 nt
Organism: Amblyraja radiata (thorny skate)
Lineage: Eukaryota; Metazoa; Chordata; Chondrichthyes; Rajiformes; Rajidae
Exons: 3
Source: RefSeq, a predicted model, not a curated record
UUCCCGAUGUUGAGGGAAUCCAGAAUCAGAGGGUCACAAUUUAGGAAUAAGGGGUAAGCCAUUUAUAACGAAGAUGCGG